UGUCUGUCACAACGGCUUCCUGGCGUGGCAGAUGAAACCUAAUGGAGCA
This is a regulatory RNA element of 49 nucleotides. It matches the Rfam family "SAM/SAH riboswitch aptamer". The record is from Rfam.